UAGGGAGGGUGCAAGCGUUGUCCGGAUUUAUUGGGUUUAAAGGGUGCGUAGGCGGCCUUGUAAGUCAGUGGUGAAAUCCAGCAGUUUAACUGCUGAAGGGCCAUUGAUACUGCAGGGCUUGAGUGCUGAUGAGGUAGGCGGAAUUGACGGUGUAGCGGUGAAAUGCAUAGAUAUCGUCAAGAACCCCGAUUGCGAAGGCAGCUUACGGGGCAGUAACUGACGCUGAGGCGCGAAAGCGUGGGGAUCAAACAGG
Molecule: ribosomal RNA, 253 nt
Filed under: uncultured bacterium
Lineage: Bacteria
Description: partial 16S ribosomal RNA
Rfam family: Bacterial small subunit ribosomal RNA
Source: RNAcentral